CUGUAAACCCCAUCCGAAGCAAGACCAAAUAAAGAACAAUCAGGCUGCCCGUCUGGUUCUUAGGUAGGUCGCUUGAGCUGUCUGGUAACAGGCAGCCUAGAUAGAUGAUUAUUCUCGACAUAACCCGGCUUAUCGUCUGACUUCCAAA
Molecule: RNase P RNA, 148 nt
Filed under: Lachnospiraceae bacterium
Lineage: Bacteria; Bacillati; Bacillota; Clostridia; Lachnospirales; Lachnospiraceae
Description: partial RNase P RNA component class A
Rfam family: Bacterial RNase P class A
About the family: Ribonuclease P (RNase P) is a ubiquitous endoribonuclease, found in archaea, bacteria and eukarya as well as chloroplasts and mitochondria.
Source: RNAcentral